This 431-nucleotide ribosomal RNA is filed under the name uncultured bacterium. Its description in RNAcentral is "partial 16S ribosomal RNA". It matches the Rfam family "Bacterial small subunit ribosomal RNA", at positions 29 to 505 of the family's 1533-position model. The record is from RNAcentral.
AACGAACGCUGGCGGCAUGCCUAACACAUGCAAGUCGAACGAGACCUUCGGGUCUAGUGGCGCACGGGUGCGUAACGCGUGGGAACCUGCCCUUAGGUUCGGAAUAACUCCCCGAAAGGGGUGCUAAUACCGGAUAAUGUCUUCGGACCAAAGAUUUAUCGCCUUUGGAUGGGCCCGCGUUGGAUUAGCUAGUUGGUAGGGUAAAAGCCUACCAAGGCGACGAUCCAUAGCUGGUCUGAGAGGAUGAUCAGCCACACUGGGACUGAGACACGGCCCAGACUCCUACGGGAGGCAGCAGUGGGGAAUAUUGGACGAUGGGCGAAAGCCUGAUCCAGCAAUGCCGCGUGAGUGAUGAAGGCCUUAGGGUUGUAAAGCUCUUUUACCCGGGAUGAUAAUGAUAGUACCGGGAGAAUAAGCUCCGGCUAACUCCG